UAAUUACAAAAGUCAAUGGCAGUACACAUAUGGAUGGCAAUGCUGCUGCUGCUACUGCUAAGUCACUUCAGUCGUGUCCAACUUUGUGCAACCCCAGAGACGGCAGCCGAGCAGGCCCCCUGUCCCUGGGAUUCUCCAGGCAAGAACACUGGAGGGGGUUGCCAUUUCCUUGGGAAGGAGACAAAUCAUUGGUAAUUUUUUUUUUUUUUUCAAGAAAUAGGGCAAAUUUGGGAAAUUCUCACAGGGUAAAUAAAGAUGCCAUCUACCUUGAAGGAUGUUUAGUUAGUUAGUUAGUUCAGUCACUCAGUCGCAUCCAACUGUUUGUGACCCCAUGAAUCGCAGCACUCCAGGUCUCCCUGUCCAUCACCAAACCCUGGAGUUCACUCAGACUCAUGUCCGUCGAAUCAGUGUCGCCAUCCAGCCAUCUCAUCCUCUGUCAUCCCCAUUCCCUCCUACCCCCAAUCCCCCCCCCCCCCCCAGCCUUUUCCAAUGAGUCAACUCUUCUCAUGAGAUGGCCAAAGUACUGGAGUUUCAGCUUCAGCAUCAUUUCCUCCAAAGAAAUCCCAGGGCUGAUCUCUUUCAGAAUGGGCUGGUUGGAUCUCCUUGCAGUCCAAGGGACUCUCAAGAGUCUUCUCCAAUACCACAGUUCAAAAGCAUCAAUUCAUUGGCUAUCAGCUUUCUUCACAGUCCAACUCUCACAUCCAUACAUGACCACAGGAAAAACCAUAGCCUUGACUAGAUGGACCUUUGUUGGCAAAGUAAUGUCUCUGCUUUUCAAUAUGCUAUCUAGGUUGGUCAUAACUUUUCUUCCAAGGAGUAAGUGUCUUUUAAUUUCAUGGCUGCAGUCACCAUCUGCCCCCAAAAAUAAAGUCUGACACUGUUUCCACUGUUUCCCCAUCUAUUUCCCAUGAAAUGAUGGAAUCAGAUGACAUGAUCUUCAUUUUCUGAAUGUUGAGCUUUAUCUUUUUAAGUUUUUUUGUUUACAUUUUCACAGUCAUUUCAUUUCUUUUUUUUAAUAUAUAUUAUACAUAUUUCAAUGCCAUUCUCCCAAAUCAUCCCACCUUCUCCCUCCCCACAGAGUCCAAAAGCCUGUUCUAUACAUCUGUGUCUCUUUUGCUGUCUCGCAUACAGGGUUAUCAUUACCAUCUUUCUACAUUCCAUAUAUGUUUGUUAGUAUACUGUAUUGGUGUUUUUCUUUCUGGCUUACUUCACUCUGUAUAAUAGGCUCCAGUUUUGUCCACCUCAUUAGAACUGAUUCAAAUUGUUGAGCUUUUAAGCCAACUUUUUCACUCUCCUCUUUCACUUUCAUCAAGAGGGAACCAAUCACAUAUAUUUAUUAUU
RNAcentral lists this long non-coding RNA (1341 nucleotides) under Ovis aries (sheep). Its description in RNAcentral is "lncRNA (ENSOARG00000026305.1)". The record is from RNAcentral. Lineage: Eukaryota; Metazoa; Chordata; Mammalia; Artiodactyla; Bovidae.